UACGUAGGGGGCAAGCGUUGUCCGGAAUUAUUGGGCGUAAAGGGCUCGUAGGCGGUCCGUCACGUCGGGAGUGAAAACUCGGAGCUCAACUCCGAGCCUGCUUCCGAUACGGGCAGACUAGAGGUAGGCAGGGGAGAGCGGAACUCCUGGUGUAGCGGUGGAAUGCGCAGAUAUCAGGAAGAACACCGGUGGCGAAGGCGGCUCUCUGGGCCUUACCUGACGCUGAGGAGCGAAAGCGUGGGGAGCGAACAGG
RNAcentral lists this ribosomal RNA (253 nucleotides) under uncultured bacterium. Its description in RNAcentral is "partial 16S ribosomal RNA". It matches the Rfam family "Bacterial small subunit ribosomal RNA", at positions 524 to 776 of the family's 1533-position model. The record is from RNAcentral.